AUCUGCUCUUGUACUAUCGUAGCCAAUGAGGUUUUUCUUAGGUGCGGUUAUUGUUAUUAAAAUCUUUUCCCAAUACCCUGCCAUGACAACUAGUAAUACACUCAGCAUUGGCAAUUUUUUACAGUCUCUACAGAGA
Apodemus sylvaticus (European woodmouse) is the source of this 136-nucleotide small nuclear RNA. RefSeq annotates it as U4 spliceosomal RNA. The transcript has a single exon. NCBI's taxonomy places the organism in Eukaryota, Metazoa, Chordata, Mammalia, Rodentia, Muridae. The record is from RefSeq and is a predicted model, not a curated record.